GCCUGGGUGGCUCAGUCCGUUGAGCCUCUGACUUCAGCUCAGGUCAUGACCUCACGGUUCAUGGGUUCGAGCCCCUUGUCAGGCU
This 85-nucleotide transfer RNA is filed under the name Felis catus (domestic cat). It matches the Rfam family "tRNA". From Rfam's summary of the family: Transfer RNA (tRNA) molecules are approximately 80 nucleotides in length. Their secondary structure includes four short double-helical elements and three loops (D, anti-codon, and T loops). Further hydrogen bonds mediate the characteristic L-shaped molecular structure. tRNAs have two regions of fundamental functional importance: the anti-codon, which is responsible for specific mRNA codon recognition, and the 3' end, to which the tRNAs corresponding amino acid is attached (by aminoacyl-tRNA synthetases). tRNAs cope with the degeneracy of the genetic code in two manners: having more than one tRNA (with a specific anti-codon) for a particular amino acid; and 'wobble' base-pairing, i.e. permitting non-standard base-pairing at the 3rd anti-codon position. Lineage: Eukaryota; Metazoa; Chordata; Mammalia; Carnivora; Felidae. RNAcentral also lists the same sequence under 1 other name. The record is from Rfam by way of RNAcentral.